GGAAACUGCCUGAUGGAGGGGGAUAUCUACUGGAAACUGUCUCUAAUACCGCAUAACCUCACAAGACCAAAGUGGGAGACCUUCGGGCCUCAUGCCAUCAUAUGUGCCCAGAUGGGAUUAUCUAGUGGGAGAGGUUGUGGCUCACCUACGCCACUAUCCCUAUCUGGUCUGAGAAGAUGACCCCCCACUCUGGAACUGACACACGGUCCACACUCCUACGGGAGGCAGCAGUGGGGAAUAUUGCACAGUGGGCGCAAGCCUGAUGCACCCGUGCCGCGUGUAUGAAAAGCGCCUUCGGGUUGUAAAGUACUUUCCGCGAGGAAGAAGGCUAUAGUGUUAAUAACCUUUGAGAUUGACUUUACUCGCAGAAGAAGCCCCGGCUAACUCCGUGCCAGCAGCCGCGGUAAUACAGAGGGUGCAAGCGUUAAUCAAAAUUACUGGGCGUAAAGCGCACGCGCGCGGUCUGUCAUCUCAGAUGUGAUCUCCCCGGGCUCAACCUGGAAACUGCAUCCGAAACUGGCAGGCUAGACUCGUGUAGAGGGGGGUAGAACUCCAGUGUGUAGCGGUGAAAUGCAUAGAGAUCUGGAAGAAUACCGGGGGCGAAGGCGGCCCCCUGGACAAACACUGACGCUCAGGUGCGAAAGCGUGGGGAGCAAACAGGAUUAGAUACCCUGGUACUCCACGCUAUAAACGAUGUCGACUUGGAGGUUGUUCCCUUGAGGAGUGGCUUCCAGAGCUAACGCGUUAACUCCACCGCCUGGGGAGUACGGCCGCAAGGUUAAAACUCAAAUGAAUUGACGGGGGCCCGCACAAGCGGUGGAGCAUGUGGUUUAAUUCGAUGCAACGCGAAGAACCUUACCUACUCUUGACAUCCAGAGAACUUAGCAGAGAUGCUUUGGUGCCUUCGGGAACUCUGAGACAGGUGCUGCAUGGCUGUCGUCAGC
RNAcentral lists this ribosomal RNA (944 nucleotides) under Klebsiella terrigena. RNAcentral describes it as "bacterial SSU rRNA". It matches the Rfam family "Bacterial small subunit ribosomal RNA", at positions 121 to 1059 of the family's 1533-position model. The record is from RNAcentral. Lineage: Bacteria; Pseudomonadati; Pseudomonadota; Gammaproteobacteria; Enterobacterales; Enterobacteriaceae.